RNAcentral lists this long non-coding RNA (276 nucleotides) under Nicotiana benthamiana. Its description in RNAcentral is "long non-coding RNA (NBEN_LNC013003)". Lineage: Eukaryota; Viridiplantae; Streptophyta; Magnoliopsida; Solanales; Solanaceae. The record is from RNAcentral.
CGGAUCCAGACAGACAAAAUGUAGAAAAAUCGACCCCAUUGGUCUCAACAAUACCCAUGCUCCUGAGAACCUCGUAGUAACUGUCCAGAUAAUCCUAGGGAUACUCAGUAGAUGCACCGUUAAAAGUAGAAGUGAAGAGCUUGGUAAACCUAUCUAGCCUCCACAAAGUAUCGGAAGACAUGGUUGCUCAUUGCCGGCCUGAGCUACUACCCCCAGCUGAACUGGUCUAACUGGCUGAACCGCUAGAGCCUGAAUCUUAAAAGCUACCUACUUUGG